GAUGAACGCUGGCGGCGUGCCUAAUACAUGCAAGUCGAGCGAACAGACGAGGAGCUUGCUCCUCUGACGUUUGCGGCGGACGGGUGAGUAACACGUGUAUAACCUACCUAUAAGACUGGGAUAACUUCGGGAAACCGGAGCUAAUCCCGGAUAAUAUAUUGAACCGCAUGGUUCAAUAGUGAAAGACGGUUUUGCUGUCACUUAUAGAUGGAUCCGCGCCGCAUUAGCUAGUUGGUCAGGUAACGGCUUACCAAGGCAACGAUGCGUAGCCGACGCGAGAGGGGGAUAGCCCACACGGGAACUGAGACGCGGUCCAGGCUCCUAAGGGAGGGAGCAGAAGGGAAUCUGCCGCAGUGGGCGAAAGCCUGACGGAGCAGCGCCGCGUGAGAGAUGAAGGUCUUCGGAGCGUAAAACUCGGUUAGUAGGGAAGAACAAAUGUGGAAGUAAAUAUGCACGGCUUGACGGUACCUAAUCAGAAAGCCACGGCUAACUACGUG
This 497-nucleotide ribosomal RNA is filed under the name uncultured bacterium. RNAcentral describes it as "partial 16S ribosomal RNA". It matches the Rfam family "Bacterial small subunit ribosomal RNA", at positions 28 to 507 of the family's 1533-position model. The record is from RNAcentral.